UACGGGGGGAGCAAGCGUUGUUCGGAUUUACUGGGCGUAAAGGGCGCGUAGGCGGUAAGCACAAGUCAGUUGUGAAAUCUCCGGGCUUAACUCGGAAAGGUCAACUGAUACUGUGCGACUAGAGUGCAGAAGGGGCAACUGGAAUUCUCGGUGUAGCGGUGAAAUGCGCAGAUAUCGGGAGGAACACCGGUGGCGAAGGCGGUUCUCUGGGCCUUACCUGACGCUGAGGAGCGAAAGCGUGGGGAGCGAACAGG
Molecule: ribosomal RNA, 254 nt
Filed under: uncultured bacterium
Lineage: Bacteria
Description: partial 16S ribosomal RNA
Rfam family: Bacterial small subunit ribosomal RNA
Source: RNAcentral